ACAAUGUAUUAAGAGUGAGAUUAAGUUCUCCUCCAACCUGCCAACUCCGGCAAGGUGGAAAAAUGAUACGGUUUUUAUUAACAACAAAUGGAGGUUCA
Molecule: non-coding RNA, 98 nt
Filed under: unclassified sequences
Description: SAM-I-IV sequence
Rfam family: SAM-I/IV (S-adenosyl methionine) riboswitch aptamer
About the family: It is found upstream of a number of genes which code for proteins involved in methionine or cysteine biosynthesis. It has been found mostly in the order Actinomycetales.
Source: Rfam by way of RNAcentral